AGCACGUGUGUUUUUGCUUACCUUGUAGACAAAAACUUAUUGACAGGUGCAAAAAAAAUUUACAUUUGUAACCCAGAGCCCGUCAUUCAGUAAGAGUUUUGAUCCAUGUAAGAAAGAAUAUU
This is a small nucleolar RNA of Cavia porcellus (domestic guinea pig), 122 nucleotides long. Lineage: Eukaryota; Metazoa; Chordata; Mammalia; Rodentia; Caviidae. The record is from Ensembl.